GAGGUGUAAAUAUUUUUACAUAUAUCCAUACUAGAGACAACACAACCUUAUUGAACUCACACACAUGUAAUGCAGAGGUGUAAAUAUUUUUACAUAUAUCCAUACAAGAGACUUCUCUCAGACUCCCACAAAUAAUUCAAAACAACGAUACCUGAAAUCUCAUUAUGAUUCUUUUUACUAAAGUUUUGUAGAGGAGACAAGAGCUCUUCAUAAUCAAUGUUUUAUUAUUUAUCAAAUUAUUAUUUUAUUCGCAAGUGGCUUUAAUUUAUAUUAAAAAAAUAAUAAAAGUUGUGAACGAAAUCACCGAAGAAACAAAACAUCAACAUUUUAGAAUUGAGCUUCCAGAUGUUGAUAUUGGUAUUGUUGAUGUUGAAAGAGAGAUAUAGUUGAGGAGUUACAUCCUGGUAGAAACUUGAAAGAGUUAUCAAUUGAUGGUUAUAGGGAUGAAAUAUUCCCCGAUUGGUUAGGCCUUUCUUGCUACUCCAAUAUAACCAAAUUGAGUUUGAGGAGUUUUAAGAAUUGUCGUCAGCUUCCUUCAUUGGGACAGUUACCCGCUCUGCAGCGUCUGGUGGUAUUUAGACUUGAUAGGCGGGAAAGAAUUGGUGGUGAGUUUUACAACAACACUGAAUCAUGUCAUGAGGUUGAGGGGACACCCUUCAGAUCUCUUCCAAGUCUGACAUUUCGUGAAAUGCCUCACUGGCGAGAGUGGCAUAUUCCUCAUGACUUUGAUGGGUUUCCAAAACUUGAAUGGCUUUCAAUAAAAGACUGUCCGGUGUUAAGUGGAGAAACUGAGUCUGAAUGCUGUAUCCCACUGUCUCAAUAGGAAGGCUGAAGCGUGAAUCGUAAUACAUGGAUGAGGCAAGGUCAGAAUUGGGAUGCACUGAAAUGAUGAAAUCCACCAUGGGGGCAAUUAUGCGCUUCGAAGCUAAAACUCAUAUGGGGAGCUCAAGACAGAUCUUUAUCAUCCCAAGUAGGAAAUGAAGGAGCACAAUUCUUUGUAUAAGCAAGGAGAAUAAUGUGGAAGAAUUUUAAGGUUGACUGCAAAAUUGCAAAUGCAGCAUGUUCUUGAUGUGGUUCAGGCUCCAUGAGAAUUUUUUAUUUCUUGAAUCAUUGUUUGAGCAUUUUAGUCAAUUAAAUAGAUUUUGAUACAGGUGCAGUAUCAGAGCAGUUAAAUGUCAACUUGUGAAUAUAUGCCAUAGUUUACAAAUAGUUUUACUAUUCCUAUUGCUUGAUUAACAUCUCUUUCUCAAGUAUGCUUGCAUCAGUAAAUUAAAUUAUUAUAACGAAACUUUUGAGAAACAAGUGUUAGUAUAGUGUUUAAAACUUGAACUAUAAGAUCAAGUCAGCACUAACCAAUAGUUGCAUAAUACUUUUCUAUGUUACAUGCUGUAAAGGAUAGGCGAAUACGAUUUAUAUAUAUAUAUAGAAAAUGUUGCAAAAUUUUAUAUAACCAUAAUUCUGUGCUAUUUCAUUUUUAAUGUGCCAUUUUUUGCUCCACAUUAGCUAUAAUAGUUCAAUUACAUUCAAUACAAUCUAAAGAUACCUUAUUCUCCUAACUCUUACCGCAAGAGUACCUUUCUUCUUUUCUUUCUUUCUUUUUUCCUGCUUCAUUGGAUUUCCAAUUCAAAACCUGUCCUUAGAUUGUAAAUAUGAUUAUUAGUUUUGUAUUAAAUUAGCAUUAAAACUUUCAAACCUGAAGCUUUUCAGUUGCUUCUUGUAGUUCUUUUUCUCUUGUUACAGCAUCAUUAGAAAGUUGUCUUAUUUCCACUUGUAGCCCCAACAACAAAGUAGCAGUUGAAAGCAGCUGAUCGCUCAGUUGCUUUCCGUUCGCCAGCCAAGGACAUUCGAAUAGAGAAACAUAACAAAGGAGGAAGAAUAUAACAUAGAAAAAUAAAGAAAAAGAAUCAAUUAGAAAGUUGAAGUGGCAACAUAUUAUCAAUGAAUUCCUUUGCAAAUCUCACUAGAAGCAAAUAAAUAACAUUACCUUUUCACUCUCAAGUUCUCUCCUUAGUCUUCCUGUUUCUUGUUCAAGUUCUUCUACUUUCUGCUCCACAAAUUAGCGUUUAUGAAGAAUAAUACAACAAAUCAGCUUGCGUCAAUUAAAAAAAUAAAACAAAAUAUCAGAUUGAUUGCCUUUGUUCCAUUCGCAGCGAUCAGCUUCGCCUUGCUUAACUCAGCUUCCAACUGGCGAACCUUAUCAUCAGAGAGAGCUAACUGUUGCCUAACAUUUCCCUGCAA
Molecule: non-coding RNA, 2238 nt
Organism: Arachis ipaensis
Lineage: Eukaryota; Viridiplantae; Streptophyta; Magnoliopsida; Fabales; Fabaceae
Source: RefSeq, a predicted model, not a curated record